UCAGGGUGGGUGGAAGAGUAAGGGAGGCUGCCGAUGGGGGGAGGAGCAGCGGGGCUGGAGGUCGUGGCGGAUGGCCUCAACCAACGGCAGCAGAAGACUGCAGCCAAGAUCAAUGCACAAUACUCGAGUAUUUUCCCUUAACAACACUGCAGUAUUUUAAGUCCUAGCGUUCGUGCUUGUCGACGGGACGGUGCAAGGCUCAACUUCGACGCGACGGUGUGGUGGAUGUACGGUGUAGGAAGCAGCAUCUCCGGUUGGACGGCGUUCAAGUGCAACCCCGGCGCCCGCUGAGUACUGCCUCGGCUACAACCUCCCUCGGUGAGCUCCAUCUUGCUCCUGCUCCUCUACUUCGGCUACUCUCUGGGACAUGGCCGUGGCUAUAUUGAUGUGGUGCUCGUCUGGUUGAUGCUCUAUGCCCUACUCAUGCAUCACUUCCUACUUGAGCUCUGUAGUUGUGGAUCCAUGCUAUUCUGGGGUUUGCAUGCUGAUGUUCAUGUUUAGUUGCUAUCAUAGGAGCUCAUGUGAUGAUUUGGGAUUACAUAUAAAUGUUGGACUGCUAGGCAGAACCAAUGGCUCCACGUCACUCUAUAAACGCUAUGAAUAUUGAUCGUGCCACCGCCUGUUGUGAGGCCAUUCUUACUAGGGCGAUGAUAAUUAACCGUGGCUGAAAUAAGUGUGACUUUGAGCAAUCGAGGAACCUGUGGGUAUCAAGUAGGAUCCUCCCUCUUGUCUUUAGAAACCUUUUUGAUCCUGUGAUACUUAUUGCUUUGUCCUUGGAUGGGCAUUCUUGUUGAGUGAUAACCAGGGCAGAUCCACUAUAAACAGAUUGAUCUGGUGAUAAGAGAUGACGGGGGUAGGUUAUAUGAUCGAGGAAAGGCGAAUCUGAGCCCACCAUAUAAGUUGCUCUUGAUCUUUUAUUGUUUGUUGCUCGUCCCUCUCCUCUUCUCUUCAAGAAAACUAUGUCCUCCCCUCUGCUCCUUGUUGGUGGUUCAGGUACAGGCCAUUGAUGCUCCUUGGUGGUACUUGGAUCUGGGAGUGGAGAGAACAAAGUGGCGCACGCUUGGCUGCCCCGCCCGACCAUCGCCUCUCCUUGCUCGAGAUUGAGGUUGCCCUCGCCUGCUACUGAGUCCAGUGAGGGCGCUGUCGAUCUCUCCCGAGCCUGGAUGUGAAGGCCACUGCCAGUUUUGAAGCUGGUUGAGUGAAUUAAAAGGUCAUCUCCACACUGAAAGGAAGUUGAUGAUGAAGCUUCCAUCACAUUUCCCCUUAGAGCCUGCAUGACACAUGUAUUUCAGUUUCUUGAAGUAGAUAACAUUGACCUUUUUUUUGAGGUCCUACAAAACUAUGCCAUCAUUAAAUCAGUGCUUGUUUUGUUCAACAUUGACGAUGUUAGCUAA
This is a long non-coding RNA of Hordeum vulgare subsp. vulgare (domesticated barley), 1394 nucleotides long. RefSeq lists it as uncharacterized. Lineage: Eukaryota; Viridiplantae; Streptophyta; Magnoliopsida; Poales; Poaceae. The transcript has 4 exons. The record is from RefSeq and is a predicted model, not a curated record.